Non-coding RNA from Microcebus murinus (gray mouse lemur), 298 nucleotides. NCBI's taxonomy places the organism in Eukaryota, Metazoa, Chordata, Mammalia, Primates, Cheirogaleidae. The record is from RefSeq and is a predicted model, not a curated record.
CGUCAGGUUCGCGCAAGGCACACGCAUUUAUCAACGUUUAUCCCACAUGAACCUAGGCAGCAGCACUUGUGAAGAAAAGAUGUCAGCAUAGAUAUCUUUACAAGCUUCAACCUCCAGAGCCAGGGCUGGAUGAAGGAACAUCUGUUGGUAUGUCACAACUAAAACAGCUGAAAGUUGAAAGGGCAAUGGCUUCACCAUGGUGACCCUCAAGCGCUGCACAGAUCCACAAAGGCCACACAGAGACUCAAACCGGAAGUAAAGAGAAUGUGAGUGUGGCCAGCGUGCCUCCUGACCCUCC